UUUACUCAGCGAAAAUUGCAGCCGUUAUUUUGAUAAUAUAUCUCAGUUUGUGUGUCCUUACUAUUCCUUAUUUAUGAAUUUGAGAAGAUUAAUUUCCACCUAUUGGUGCUGAAGGUCAAGCUGCUCAAUUUCUUUUUGGAUGUGGACCAGUCUCCUCUGGUAUAGCAGAUCUCACAAAGGAUCUUCACCAUCAGGAAAACUCCAUGUUCCACUCAGAAGGUUCACCGUCGCCACCUUGCAUAUUUGUUCUGGGUUUUGCGGUGUGCUGAGAAUAGGAAGGCUGAGUUCAUCAAUUCUACUAUGGAUUCUGCUCUAUAUGCGUGUUUCUUUCCAAUAAUUCAUCACUUGUGCGGGAUUCUAAUGGUUGUGCUGAGUUUUUGCAACGGUGAGGUUGAGCAUAUCGAUUUGUAUAAUGCACAGACCGCGAAUAAUGGUGUUGUGGUGACUGAUACACACUCACAGUUUCCUGAAGGUAAAGUUGAUUUCAGUUGUUUAUUCAUCCUUGUCGGAUCUUGUUUAUAGCAUAUAUACUUGCUUUCAGUUGCUUAUGAUCUACUCAAGCUAACAAAUUCCUUUUGUUGUACAGUUGGCCACUUUUGGCAUAUGUGAUAAUAUGCAUAUUUGUCGGUGUUCAUGGUACUACCUCCCUAUCACUCACACACCUAGAUAUUUUCUUGCCAGCUAUAACCUAAAUUAAGGUUUGACUCUUUCUGUUAACUGCAGGUCUUAAUAUAUAUUUCAGACUACCAUUUAACCCUUAUUGUAAAUUUUACCCACAUUUUUUAACCAACGUUUCUAAACCCAUUUAAUGGUUCUUGUUUUAUGUGUUGGCCUAAUUACCCGACUUCAAAAUGUUCAGAGGUUGGCCUACUUCAGGGUAGUGAGCUGCAGCAUUUUGACGCUCAGUUGGCGCUGGAGGUUAUUCAGGCACCAUCUACAAAUUAAGUAAGAUAUAGCUCUCUUCACCGUAAUUUUGUCAAGGGGUCCGCAAUGAAAUGGACAAUUACGCCAAGAUAGGCACACAAGAAGAUCCUCAAGAUCAGCGAUGGCGAUUGCGACGGUGCAUCGACGAGCUUGAUGAGAUGGCGCAUUGACAAGCAAAAAGUCAUGGGGAUUCCCGCUGUUCGUGAGGGGUUGCAUGAUGCGGCUAUGGGGCGGCGGAGGUCCACACAUCAGACGUAUCUAGGCUGUGCGCACAGAUGAUGUUGAGGCUCCGUGACCUCUACAACCCGAGCAAGGUCAGCAAUGGUUCACCACUUCAGCUGUUACUCUGCUCCAUCCACUAAAUUUUCUUCAGUUCAAUAUCUGCAUAUAUAUGGUGAUGAUUUUAGUGGGCCACAAGGUGUUGGCAAUCGUUGGGUUCUGUAUUCUAUAAAAUAUCAGCAGCUUGUUUAAUCUUCAGUUGCAGUGCUUUCAUGUUAUCAUGAAUUGUAGGCAAACUGUAUAUUGUGUGUUCCUUCUUGCAUCCAGCUUGACUAUUUACUUUGGAAGGAGCAGUUCGUAGAGUGGGUCUGAAGCAAAUGGGUAGCAAUCAUAAUAUUAGGCUGCUACAGAGGGGGUGGACUUUGAUGUCAGUAUGCUACAAAGGAUGUUGAAGAAAUUGGUGAUUUUCUUUAUUUAAUUAAAGAAACAGAUUAUAUGAAUGCACGGUGAUUUGAAAAAAUAUGGUUUAUUUAUUCAAGUGUUCUAAAUUACUCAUUAAUCCGAUAUAAAUUAAGGCUGCAAAGGGGGUCAUGCAAUGACUAUGAACUAAGGGUGAUAUGUAAUUUUUGGUGUUUAUUCUUCUAUGAGCUACCAACCAUAUAUGUUGCAAGUUGGUGCCUUUUUAGGUUAUGAGAAGCGAUUAUCUUUGUUCCUCCAUGGCGAGCAGCACCGGCUGCAUCUGGCCCCAGCGCAUCUUUGGAAAUUUAGAAUGAUCAAAGGAAUUGGUCAAACUACAGAAAUUGUGACCCUGAUGAGCCGCCCCAGGCCUGACCACCGUUGGUUCAUCGUUCUUCUCUGCCCGCGGAGUUUCCUGUCGUGCAUGCGUACAGUUGAGGAAAACCAAAAAGAAUAGUUGGCAAUACCACCCAAAAAAUUCAGCUACCAAUGUUUUGGUUCUCAGGGUUAACUGAGUUACUCAUCUUGAAGUUGAGACAAACCUACAAGGCUAUAGCGCGAUGAAAAAUAUGAGGUGCAUCACUUUUCUAUUGUCUCUAGCAUUUUUCUUGUUUACUGCACAUCCAUUUAUUUGGUACGGUUAGCUAAGGUACCAGUGUAAUACCCCCUUGACCCAUCAGGUAAUAUAUGCCUUUAAAAGUUGUUUGUGCAAUAGUAAUAUCUUAGCAAGUCUUCUGAAAGAGAGCCAUAAUUUCCAAUGUAAGACCAAAGAGGCUUUCUGGGCACCUAGGUUAACGUUUUGAACCCUAUUUAUUUUGUGCCUUUUCUUUUCAUCAUCUCUGGUUACUCACUACAUCCACCUAUAUUCUAUCACUGGGAGGACUACGACGACAUCGUAAAGGACUUGAGCUUGAAGCUGAAGCAGAGCUGCUUGAGUGAUCCACUGCUUGAGGUGAUAUUGCGAGCAGCAUCAUGUUUAUUAAUAGGAAUAUAUUGUUGUGGCAUUGCAGUGGCGUAUUGGUAAUUGAUAGUGCUGAUUCCGGAUACAUGUAAACUCCUUAUAAAUACUUUCAUUUAUACCGUGAAUAUAUUGUUGUGGUGUUGCAGUCGUGUAUAUAUGUGUCACAUGUUACUAUUUC
Long non-coding RNA from Lolium rigidum, 2738 nucleotides. RefSeq lists it as uncharacterized. The transcript is spliced from 4 exons. Lineage: Eukaryota; Viridiplantae; Streptophyta; Magnoliopsida; Poales; Poaceae. The record is from RefSeq and is a predicted model, not a curated record.